RNAcentral lists this ribosomal RNA (253 nucleotides) under uncultured bacterium. Its description in RNAcentral is "partial 16S ribosomal RNA". It matches the Rfam family "Bacterial small subunit ribosomal RNA", at positions 524 to 776 of the family's 1533-position model. The record is from RNAcentral.
UACGUAGGGACCAAGCGUUGUUCGGAUUUACUGGGCGUAAAGGGCGCGUAGGCGGCUUAACAAGUCACUUGUGAAAUCUCCGGGCUUAACUCGGAACGGCCAAGUGAAACUGUCAAGCUAGAGUGCAGAAGGGGCAAUCGGAAUUCUUGGUGUAGCGGUGAAAUGCGUAGAUAUCAAGAGGAACAUCGGUGGCGAAGGCGCUCUGCUGGACCAUAACUGACACUCAGGGACGAAAGCUAGGGGAGCGAAUGGG